RNAcentral lists this ribosomal RNA (855 nucleotides) under uncultured Actinomycetes bacterium. RNAcentral's name for it is "bacterial SSU rRNA". It matches the Rfam family "Bacterial small subunit ribosomal RNA", at positions 63 to 896 of the family's 1533-position model. Lineage: Bacteria; Bacillati; Actinomycetota; Actinomycetes. The record is from RNAcentral.
CGGUCGCAAGGGACAGCUUGCUGGUUCUGGAUGACGUGGCGACAGGGUGGAGUAACACGUGAGUAACCUGCCCCCUUCUUCUGGAUAACCGCAUGAAAGUGUGGCUAAUACGGGAUAUUCUGGGUCUAGUCGCAUGAUGGGCCCGGGAAAGAUGCGCCUUUGGGUGUUUUGGUGGGGGAUGGGCUCGCGGCCUAUCAGCUUGUGGGUGGGGUGAUGGCCUACCAAGGCGGUGACGGGUAGCCGGCCUGAGAGGGUGGACGGUCACACUGGGACUGAGACACGGCCCAGACUCCUACGGGAGGCAGCAGUGGGGAAUAUUGCACAAUGGGCGCAAGCCUGAUGCAGCGACGCCGCGUGAGGGAUGGAGGCCUUCGGGUUGUAAACCUCUUUCGCCAGUGAAGCAGGCCUGCUCCUUGUGGGUGGGUUGACGGUAGCUGGAUAAGAAGCGCCGGCUAACUACGUGCCAGCAGCCGCGGUAAUACGUAGGGCGCAAGCGUUGUCCGGAAUUAUUGGGCGUAAAGAGCUCGUAGGCGGCUGGUCGCGUCUGUCGUGAAAUCCUCUGGCUUAACUGGGGGCUUGCGGUGGGUACGGGCCGGCUUGAGUGCGGUAGGGGAGACUGGAACUCCUGGUGUAGCGGUGGAAUGCGCAGAUAUCAGGAAGAACACCGGUGGCGAAGGCGGGUCUCUGGGCCGUUACUGACGCUGAGGAGCGAAAGCGUGGGGAGCGAACAGGAUUAGAUACCCUGGUAGUCCACGCCGUAAACGUUGGGCACUAGGUGUGGGGGGCCUUUUCCGGGUCUUCCGCGCCGUAGCUAACGCAUUAAGUGCCCCGCCUGGGGAGUACGCCGCAAGGCUA